CUGUGAACUUCUGCAGCACAUUCUCAAGAUCGCUUUUUGUUACUUGGUCAUAAGGCUUUUCUUCAGUUACUUUUCCUGUAGCAUCUAACGUAUCAGUAGCUCUGCCCAGUAGUCCAAUGGCAGUGUACCAGAACUCCUGUUGCUGCACUGUCCAAAGUUCCACCAUGCCCAAUUUUCAAAGCUUGCCUUUUUCUUUUCUUAUCUUUUGUUUGCA
Molecule: long non-coding RNA, 214 nt
Filed under: Gallus gallus (chicken)
Lineage: Eukaryota; Metazoa; Chordata; Aves; Galliformes; Phasianidae
Source: RNAcentral